AGGCGGUUAGCUCAGCUGGCAGAGCAGCGGACUCUUAAUCCGCGGGUCCAGGGUUCGAAUCCCUGACCGCCUA
This 73-nucleotide transfer RNA is filed under the name Candidatus Dadabacteria bacterium. RNAcentral's name for it is "tRNA-Lys". It matches the Rfam family "tRNA". Rfam says of the family: Transfer RNA (tRNA) molecules are approximately 80 nucleotides in length. Their secondary structure includes four short double-helical elements and three loops (D, anti-codon, and T loops). The record is from RNAcentral. Lineage: Bacteria; Pseudomonadati; Thermodesulfobacteriota; Candidatus Dadabacteria.